CGUAAAGCUUAUCGAAAAUAAACCUUACAAGCAAAGUAAUCGGGGGCUGUCCCUGACAAUGGUGUGCAAGCCCAGCUCGUACUGGGAAGCCUAAAGUUGUUACCAUGGCCACCCACUUAAAUAAUGAGGUUUAUUUCAAAGUUGUCUUCG
Molecule: non-coding RNA, 150 nt
Filed under: Deltaproteobacteria bacterium
Lineage: Bacteria; Pseudomonadati; Myxococcota; Myxococcia
Description: 6S RNA
Rfam family: 6S / SsrS RNA
About the family: E. coli 6S RNA was the first non coding RNA to be sequenced, but its function was unknown until recently. It consists of 184 nucleotides that fold into an extended hairpin structure with a large single-stranded internal bulge. The 6S RNA specifically associates with RNA polymerase holoenzyme containing the sigma70 specificity factor.
Source: RNAcentral